Non-coding RNA from Pelobates cultripes (western spadefoot toad), 208 nucleotides. The record is from the annotation of a GenBank genome assembly. Lineage: Eukaryota; Metazoa; Chordata; Amphibia; Anura; Pelobatidae.
CUCUGCCUUAUCUGUAAGCAUGUCAAACAUGCGGCUCGCUGGGCCACAAAGAUAUUCAUUGUGGGCCGCGAGUUUGACAUGCUUGCGCUAAAUCAUAAUGAAUUGAAAUGUAAAUGGUGUAUCUGAAAAUAAAAUAGCUGACUUGAAACAUUCUCUACCACGUAGGCCCCACCGAUGGAUUGGUAACUGUUACCUUUCUUUCAUACUG